GAUGAACGCUGGCGGCGUGCCUAAUACAUGCAAGUAGAACGGUGAAGGAGGAGUUUGCUCUUCUGGAUGAGUCGCGAACGGGUGAGUAACGCGUAGGUAACCUGCCUGGUAGCGGGGGAUAACUAUUGGAAACGAUAGAUAAUACAGCAUGACAACAGUUAUUGCAUGAUAACUGUCUAAAAGGGGCAAAUGCUACACUACCAGAUGGACCUGCGUUGUAUUAGCUAGAUUGUGGGGUAACGGCUCACCAAGGCGACGGUACAUAGCCGACCUGAGAGGGUGGUUAGGCCCACUGGGACUGAGACCCGGCCCAGAGUCCCUCGGGGAGGAGCAGUAGGGAAACUUCGGCCAUGGGCGGAAGUCCUACCGAGCACCGCCGCGGGGUGUAAAAAAGUUCUCGGGUCGGAAAGGUCUGUUAUAAGGGAAGAACGAGCAUUAGAGUGGAAAGUUGACGCUGUGACGGUACCUUCACAAAAAGCACCGGCUAACUACGUG
RNAcentral lists this ribosomal RNA (495 nucleotides) under uncultured bacterium. RNAcentral's name for it is "partial 16S ribosomal RNA". It matches the Rfam family "Bacterial small subunit ribosomal RNA", at positions 28 to 507 of the family's 1533-position model. The record is from RNAcentral.